This 465-nucleotide ribosomal RNA is filed under the name uncultured bacterium. Its description in RNAcentral is "partial 16S ribosomal RNA". It matches the Rfam family "Bacterial small subunit ribosomal RNA", at positions 338 to 795 of the family's 1533-position model. The record is from RNAcentral.
CCUACGGGAGGCAGCAGUAGGGAAUCUUCCACAAUGGGCGAAAGCCUGAUGGAGCAACGCCGCGUGGGUGAAGAAGGUCUUCGGAUCGUAAAACCCUGUUGUUAGAGAAGAAAGUUCGUGAGAGUAACUGUUCACGUUUCGACGUUAUCUAACCAGAAAGCCACGACUAACUACGUGCCAGCAGCCGCGGUAAUACGUAGGUGGCAAGCGUUAUCCGGAUUUAUUGGGCGUAAAGGGAACGCAGGCGGUCUUUUAAGUCUGAUGUGAAAGCCUUCGGCUUAACCGGAGGAGUGCAUUGGAAACUGGGAGACUUGAGUGCAGAAGAGGAGAGUGGAACUCGAUGUGUAGCGUUGAAAUGCGUAGAUAUAUGGAAGAACACCAGUGGCGAAGGCGGCUCUCUGGGCUGUAACUGACGCUGAGGUUCGAAAGCGUGGGUAGCAAACAGGAUUAGAUACCCGAGUAGUC